Molecule: unclassified non-coding RNA, 300 nt
Filed under: uncultured fungus
Lineage: Eukaryota; Fungi
Description: sequence contains ITS1
Source: RNAcentral
UUGCUUUUCAUUUUGGUUUUUUGUACAUCAGACUUCAGAUUCUCGUUGCAGAGUAAAACAAUUACGGCCGGCGGCGGGCAGGUCGAGCCUACCUCUUCCGCCGAAGUUAAGGUUCGUCAAGGCAGCAGCGGCAAACGCGGGCCGUUCCGGAUCCCACCCUCUCGGGUGCCAUCCGUCCCAAGCCACACGCAAAAACCAACCACCGUUCUUCCCCAACGUGCACAUGACAAUAGGUCGGGUAUCCCCAGCUUGCGCCAGGAAUCCUCAGUAAUGAUCCUUCCGCAGGUUCACCUACGGAAA